AUUGGGACUAGUUUGUGAAUGGGGUGACUCGACCUGCACACACAUUAGACUAAAUCAAUAUAGAAAAUUAAACCAAACUUGAAUUACCUCUAAUAAUUUAUUAAAAUGAAAUGAGAGGGGAAACACAUUUUCUUCUGUUAAUAUUUAAAAUAUGUGCAUAACAAUAAUAAUAAGUGCUAUGUAAAAUAGAUAAAUUUGUACAUUAUUUAGCACUUAUCACACCCCCAAACCUACAUUUUGCUAGUCCUCGAGCAAAAUAAAAUUAGAAAAGAAGAAACUCUAACUCACUUUCGCAGGCAUCGCGAUAGCAUUUACCAUAUGCAACAAGGCUUUAAACCCCUAGGUUACCCUAGUGGACGAGUUAUAGUCUC
Molecule: long non-coding RNA, 371 nt
Filed under: Phoenix dactylifera (date palm)
Lineage: Eukaryota; Viridiplantae; Streptophyta; Magnoliopsida; Arecales; Arecaceae
Description: long non-coding RNA (PDAC_LNC006062)
Source: RNAcentral